This 478-nucleotide ribosomal RNA is filed under the name uncultured bacterium. Its description in RNAcentral is "partial 16S ribosomal RNA". It matches the Rfam family "Bacterial small subunit ribosomal RNA", at positions 28 to 507 of the family's 1533-position model. The record is from RNAcentral.
GAUGAACGCUGGCGGCGUGCUUAACACAUGCAAGUCGAACGGGAAUUAUUUUAUUGAACCUUCGGUCGAUUUAAUUUAAUUCUAGUGGCGGACGGGUGAGUAACGCGUGGGUAACCUGCCUUAUACAGGGGGAUAACAGUCAGAAAUGGCUGCUAAUACCGCAUAAGCGCACAGAGCUGCAUGGCUCAGUGUGAAAAACUCCGGUGGUAUAAGAUGGACCCGCGUUGGAUUAGCUGGUUGGUGGGGUAACGGCCCACCAAGGCGACGAUCCAUAGCCGGCCUGAGAGGGUGAACGGCCACAUUGGGACUGAGACACGGCCCAGACUCCUACGGGAGGCAGCAGUGGGGAAUAUUGCACAAUGGGGGAAACCCUGAUGCAGCGACGCCGCGUGAAGGAAGAAGUAUCUCGGGAUGUAAACUUCUAUCAGCAGGGAAGAUAGUGACGGUACCUGACUAAGAAGCCCCGGCUAACUACGUG